This 591-nucleotide ribosomal RNA is filed under the name uncultured Burkholderia sp. RNAcentral describes it as "bacterial SSU rRNA". It matches the Rfam family "Bacterial small subunit ribosomal RNA", at positions 418 to 1003 of the family's 1533-position model. Lineage: Bacteria; Pseudomonadati; Pseudomonadota; Betaproteobacteria; Burkholderiales; Burkholderiaceae. The record is from RNAcentral.
UCGGGUUGUAAAGCACUUUUGUCCGGAAAGAAAACUUCUGCCCUAAUACGGCGGGAGGAUGACGGUACCGGAAGAAUAAGCACCGGCUAACUACGUGCCAGCAGCGCGGUAAUCGUAGGGUGCGAGCGUUAAUCGGAAUUACUGGGCGUAAAGCGUGCACAGGCGGUUCGUUAAGACAGAUGUGAAAUCCCCGGGCUUAACCUGGGAACUGCAUUUGUGACUGGCGAGCUAGAGUAUGGCAGAGGGGGGUAGAAUUCCACGUGUAGCAGUGAAAUGCGUAGAGAUGUGGAGGAAUACCGAUGGCGAAGGCAGCCCCCUGGGCCAAUACUGACGCUCAUGCACGAAAGCGUGGGGAGCAAACAGGAUUAGAUACCCUGGUAGUCCACGCCCUAAACGAUGUCAACUAGUUGUUGGGGAUUCAUUUCCUUAGUAACGUAGCUAACGCGUGAAGUUGACCGCCUGGGGAGUACGGUCGCAAGAUUAAAACUCAAAGGAAUUGACGGGGACCCGCACAAGCGGUGGAUGAAGGUGGAUUAAUUCGAUGCAACGCGAAAAACCUUACCUACCCUUGACAUGGUCGGAACCCUGCUG